CUUAAUGGUGGUUGUGCGCAGGGCGCCCUUGGGCGCGCCGGUUUUGCCAAUUCCUCCGGUCUACUAACCUGCGUACAGCCGCCACCUUC
Molecule: non-coding RNA, 89 nt
Filed under: Pseudomonas sp. NFACC45
Lineage: Bacteria; Pseudomonadati; Pseudomonadota; Gammaproteobacteria; Pseudomonadales; Pseudomonadaceae
Source: RNAcentral